AAGCCUACGGGGGGCAGCAGUAGGGAAUCUUCCACAAUGGGCGCAAGCCUGACCCAGCAACGCCGCGUGAAGGAAGAAGGCUUUCGGGUUGUAAACUUCUUUUAUGAGGGACGAAAGAAAUGACGGUACCUCAUGAAUAAGCCACGGCUAACUACGUGCCAGCAGCCGCGGUAAUACGUAGGUGGCAAGCGUUAUCCGGAUUUACUGGGUGUAAAGGGCGUGUAGGCGAGACUGCAAGUCAGAUGUGAAAAUUAUGGGCUCAACCCAUAACCUGCAUUUGAAACUGUAGUUCUUGAGUGAUGGAG
This 305-nucleotide ribosomal RNA is filed under the name uncultured bacterium. RNAcentral's name for it is "bacterial SSU rRNA". It matches the Rfam family "Bacterial small subunit ribosomal RNA", at positions 335 to 654 of the family's 1533-position model. The record is from RNAcentral.